RNAcentral lists this ribosomal RNA (307 nucleotides) under uncultured bacterium. RNAcentral's name for it is "partial 16S ribosomal RNA". It matches the Rfam family "Bacterial small subunit ribosomal RNA", at positions 506 to 807 of the family's 1533-position model. The record is from RNAcentral.
AGACAGCAGUCGCCGCGGGAAUACGGAGGGUGCAAGCGUUAAUCGGAAUUACUGGGCGUAAAGCGCACGCAGGCGGUCUGACAAGUCAGAUGUGAAAUCCCCGGGCUUAACCUGGGAACUGCAUUUGAAACUGUCAGGCUGGAGUCUUGUAGAGGGGGGUGGAAUUCCAGGUGUAGCGGUGAAAUGCGUAGAGAUCUGGAGGAAUACCGGUGGCGAAGGCGGCCCCCUGGACAAAGACUGACGCUCAGGUGCGAAAGCGUGGGGAGCAAACAGGAUUAGAUACCCGCGUAGUCCCUGUCUCUUAUAC